Molecule: non-coding RNA, 30 nt
Filed under: Rattus norvegicus (Norway rat)
Lineage: Eukaryota; Metazoa; Chordata; Mammalia; Rodentia; Muridae
Source: RNAcentral
UUCCAAGGUCAUCUACAAUGUCUUAGGACC